CCAAUCAGAGCUCUGUUACCAGGCAGAGCCUCUCUCCGGCUCUGGUCACUGUCAUCCUAGCUGUCCAGACACCCUUUUGCAAUUUUUGUUUGAAUUGAUUUUUUUAAAAGCACCUGAUAUAUACUUUUCUUCUUAUUCUUCUCCUUCUAGUCCUCUAUUCAAGGCCCACCACAGAGACACAGGAAUGGAACUCAGAAUCACAAACAAAGAAACCUCGGUCCAAGAAAGAAAAUGAUCUUUAAAAAGACCCUCGUUUCAUGCUUGCCGAUGCUGAGACAAUCGGCUCUGGAGGAUAUUUGGAGACACCGAUUAAAAGAAAUGUGGCAGCCCAAGACCCAAGCAAGGAUAGGAUUUCCCAGACAUUCCCGAGGGAGACAAUCCCAUGUGCUUUCCUUCUGAUGUCACAUCAGAAUCUGAAGGCUGCUAGAGAAGGGAGAGGCACAUGCAAGUGCAUCCCAUGCUGAUUGUUGUUGAAAUACCUGGAAAGAAACUGGCAAAGACUAUCCAAGAGCCAAGGAGCAUCAACAUUUGGCUUCAGAAAUGCUGCUAAAUCCUGAAUAAACAAGAGUGAACAAGCAAGGGAAAUUAGCUGUCAUGUGAGGAUACUCAAACAGUUUAUAAAGAGGUUCAUGUGGCAAGGAAUGGAGGCCUCCUGCCAACAGCCAUGUAAAGGAGCCAUCUAGGAAACAGAUUCUCCAGCCCCAGUCAGACCUUCAGAUAAUUACAGCCCCUACCAAUAUUCUGACUGCAGUGGAAGGAAAGACCCUGAACUAGAACCACCCAGCUGGCAGAGAUUCCUGGUCUUGCUCUCUACCUCUCUGGCCUAUGCCCCAGUGACAUGCCCCUGGUGCCUGCAGGACAUUUUGCUUUUGAAGAGAACACCUAUUGUUCUGAAAGAUGGCAGAACUUCUACAUGACUGAGGAACUUCUGUGUUGCAGAUUAACAGAAUUAAUAGAAAGCCAGGUCAAACUGGCUUAAGAAAAAACAAAAACAAACAACCAAAAAACCUGGUAGCCAGUGCUUCACAUAACUGAGAAGUCCAGGACUGUAGAUUAAUGCAAGGGUUCAGAAAUGCAGUAACCAAGAUGGAGGCUGCCUGCUGCUCAAGUUGCCAGAUUUAGCAAAUAAAAACAGAGCAUACACAGUUAAAUUCACAUUUUAUAUAAAUAAUGAACAACUUUUUUGUAGUAUAAACAUGUCCCUGUACUGCUUUCUCUAUUUUAUUGGACAACUCUACCUGCUACCAUAUGUCAGCUCUCUCCUUCCUGUGUUGAGAUUACUCUCUGGCAGGCUCUGGGCAUGAGACGACAGAAUGGUAUCCCUACAGAUACAUUUCAAGGCUUAGGGACCAUUGAAGAAGAGCUUCUCUUUCCCAAGAGUUCCAGCAAAAAUCCUAGGGUUGUAUCUCAUUGAUCCAGCUUGGGUCUUGUGGCCACCUGGGAAGCAAACACUCUGUCAAAGGAGGUGAAAUGCAAGGUAGGUCUGCACCAUACAUCUACCUCUACAACUAGGGUGUAGAUUUAGCCCCAUCCAAACCACUUGAAUGAAGACUGGGGAGAAGUGUUUCCCAGAAGAAACCCAGAGUGAUGUUACUAGGAGAAGACAGAUGGAUAAUAGCCAGACAUUGACUCCAUGGUUAAAUGGUGAAUAUCCUCUUAGGGCCAGGCUCCCUGGAGCUCUUCACAUCACACGUUGACUGCUUAGCAACUGAUGUGGGUCACAUCCCUUGGUUUUGGUCCCAGAGGGUGAUUUUGGACAAUGGAAGGCAAUUUAGAUAGCCCCUGAAUUAACAGUAAAGAUAGUAAAAACAAAACAAACAAACAAAAUUAUCUAGUACCUUUUCUGUGUGAACUGUGAUACCCAAUGUGAGUCCUACACAAAGAUAGGAAAGAAGACAUGGCUGUUGUCCAGAACUUACAUUCUGGUGAGAGGCAUCACAUUGUACCUUGUUAUAGAGUCUCAUGAUACUUUCCUUGUUUCUACCUCUAAGUAAUUAUGAAUCUACAGAGGAAGAAUAAAUUAAUCCCAGGUAAGGCUUACUGAAGGAGAUGCAUUUGGGCUGGACCUUACAGAAAGAGUUUAGAUAGGCAGCUAUAGAGGGAAGAAAGAGAAAAAUUCCAAACAGAGGAAGUAGAAUAAGAAAACCUGUUGAUUUCAGGCUGCUGCACCCACACUGGGCCGCAUUGCCUUUCAAAGAGAUGCACCUUGAUGUGGACACUUGACUUUACCCGGGGCCAGAGAAACAUUAGAGAAUGCCAGGAAAAUAAAUAAUCUGAUACUCUGAACACUCCUUCAAAUGCUUGUUCAGAGUUAAUUUGUAGAGAAAGCUGAGUGACAUAGGAGAAAAAGAAAAGGAGAAAGACCCUUGGGUGGGACACUCAGUCCGUUUUCUAUUGUCCUUGGUAAUUCCACUCUGGCCCCAUAUUUGCAUUAUCCAUUCAUGAAACAAAAGACCUUGAGUCAAAUGGACUCAUCUGUUUUAGUUAUCCAAUAUCCAGGGUUAGUUAAGCCUAACCUUUGGAGGAAGGAGGGUGUCACCUCCUUGUCCCUAAGUGACUUCAUUUUCCCUCUAAGCAUUUAUAGUACUAUUCCUGAGAGUCAUUCUGGUAGGUUCUAUUUUUUCCAUCUCACAUUGCCAGAAUAUUUUCUUUCACUGGUGCAUUUAGCAGGAUGGCUGGCCUUUUCCUCCAACUCUGACACCACUCCAAAGGGUGCAAGCUUGAAAAAUGCUUUGCCCCUCUUCUCCAUGGUUCUCUGAGUGUGGUUUUCAGAGGCGAUAUGAACAUAUGUCAUCAGAGCAUGUAGUCAAAUACCACAUAGAGUGUGAGGCUUUCUCCAGAAUGGUGCUUUUUUGGGGUGUUUUUUUAAAACACAACCCCCCGCUGUAUUGCAGUAAGGAUCCCUUAAUGAAAUGAACUGGAAUAUGUGGUUCUAGAAAAAAAAAAAAAAGAUGGGAAUGGAGAAAAAAACUAUCUAGAAAAAAAAAAA
This is a long non-coding RNA of Cercocebus atys (sooty mangabey), 2989 nucleotides long. RefSeq lists it as uncharacterized. The transcript is spliced from 6 exons. Lineage: Eukaryota; Metazoa; Chordata; Mammalia; Primates; Cercopithecidae. The record is from RefSeq and is a predicted model, not a curated record.